AUUGAACGCUGGCGGCAGGCUUAACACAUGCAAGUCGAGCGGGGGAAGGUAGCUUGCUACUGGACCUAGCGGCGGACGGGUGAGUAAUGCUUAGGAAUCUGCCUAUUAGUGGGGGACAACAUCUCGAAAGGGAUGCUAAUACCGCAUACGUCCUACGGGAGAAAGCAGGGGAUCUUCGGACCUUGCGCUAAUAGAUGAGCCUAAGUCGGAUUAGCUAGUUGGUGGGGUAAAGGCCUACCAAGGCGACGAUCUGUAGCGGGUCUGAGAGGAUGAUCCGCCACACUGGGACUGAGACACGGCCCAGACUCCUACGGGAGGCAGCAGUGGGGAAUAUUGGACAAUGGGGGGAACCCUGAUCCAGCCAUGCCGCGUGUGUGAAGAAGGCCUUAUGGUUGUAAAGCACUUUAAGCGAGGAGGAGGCUACUUUAGUUAAUACCUAGAGAUAGUGGACGUUACUCGCAGAAUAAGCACCGGCUAACUACGUGCCAGCAGCCGCAGUAA
Molecule: ribosomal RNA, 501 nt
Filed under: uncultured bacterium
Lineage: Bacteria
Description: partial 16S ribosomal RNA
Rfam family: Bacterial small subunit ribosomal RNA
Source: RNAcentral